AAGGGUAUAUCUCUUCUGUCCAUUGUGUUUCCUACACUUCAGCAUAUUGGUUGCCAUUACCUUAUGGAGCUGACCUCAUUAAUAAAUAAUUGUAUGUCAUGGGCUGGCUGAGUGUGUUCUCCCUACAGACCUGUUAGCAAAAUGACCUGUUCCAGGUUACAAGUCUUUUCCUUCUCAAGGUAAGACAAACAAGGUACAUUUUAUUGAAAUGUUAGACUUCAAAUCUUUUUAUGUUAGACUUUACAUC
RNAcentral lists this long non-coding RNA (247 nucleotides) under Monodelphis domestica (gray short-tailed opossum). RNAcentral's name for it is "lncRNA (ENSMODG00000040560.1)". Lineage: Eukaryota; Metazoa; Chordata; Mammalia; Didelphimorphia; Didelphidae. The record is from RNAcentral.